UAAGGGCGCACGGUGGAUGCCUUGGCACUAGAAGCCGAUGAAGGACGUUACUAACGACGAUAUGCUUUGGGGAGCUGUAAGUAAGCUUUGAUCCAGAGAUUUCCGAAUGGGGAAACCCAGCAUGAGUUAUGUCAUGUUAUCGAUAUGUGAAUACAUAGCAUAUCAGAAGGCACACCCGGAGAACUGAAACAUCUUAGUACCCGGAGGAAGAGAAAGAAAAUUCGAUUCCCUUAGUAGCGGCGAGCGAAACGGGAAGAGCCCAAACCAACAAGCUUGCUUGUUGGGGUUGUAGGACACUCUAUACGGAGUUACAAAGGACGACAUUAGACGAAUCAUCUGGAAAGAUGAAUCAAAGAAGGUAAUAAUCCUGUAGUCGAAAAUGUUGUCUCUCUUGAGUGGAUCCUGAGUACGACGGAGCACGUGAAAUUCCGUCGGAAUCUGGGAGGACCAUCUCCUAAGGCUAAAUACUCUCUAGUGACCGAUAGUGAACCAGUACCGUGAGGGAAAGGUGAAAAGCACCCCGGAAGGGGAGUGAAAUAGAACCUGAAACCGUGUGCUUACAAGUAGUCAGAGCCCGUUAAUGGGUGAUGGCGUGCCUUUUGUAGAAUGAACCGGCGAGUUACGAUUUGAUGCAAGGUUAAGCAGUAAAUGUGGAGCCGUAGCGAAAGCGAGUCUGAAUAGGGCGUUUAGUAUUUGGUCGUAGACCCGAAACCAGGUGAUCUACCCUUGGUCAGGUUGAAGUUCAGGUAACACUGAAUGGAGGACCGAACCGACUUACGUUGAAAAGUGAGCGGAUGAACUGAGGGUAGCGGAGAAAUUCCAAUCGAACCUGGAGAUAGCUGGUUCUCUCCGAAAUAGCUUUAGGGCUAGCCUCAAGUGAUGAUUAUUGGAGGUAGAGCACUGUUUGGACGAGGGGCCCCUCUCGGGUUACCGAAUUCAGACAAACUCCGAAUGCCAAUUAAUUUAACUUGGGAGUCAGAACAUGGGUGAUAAGGUCCGUGUUCGAAAGGGAAACAGCCCAGACCACCAGCUAAGGUCCCAAAAUAUAUGUUAAGUGGAAAAGGAUGUGGCGUUGCCCAGACAACUAGGAUGUUGGCUUAGAAGCAGCCAUCAUUUAAAGAGUGCGUAAUAGCUCACUAGUCGAGUGACACUGCGCCGAAAAUGUACCGGGGCUAAA
Molecule: ribosomal RNA, 1177 nt
Filed under: Staphylococcus aureus
Lineage: Bacteria; Bacillati; Bacillota; Bacilli; Caryophanales; Staphylococcaceae
Description: partial 23S ribosomal RNA
Rfam family: Bacterial large subunit ribosomal RNA
Source: RNAcentral